ACGCUGGCGGCAGGCCUAACACAUGCAAGUCGAGCGGUAGAGAGAAGCUUGCUUCUCUUGAGAGCGGCGGACGGGUGAGUAAUGCCUAGGAAUCUGCCUGGUAGUGGGGGAUAACGUUCGGAAACGGACGCUAAUACCGCAUACGUCCUACGGGAGAAAGUAGGGGACCUUCGGGCCUUGCGCUAUCAGAUGAGCCUAGGUCGGAUUAGCUAGUUGGUGGGGUAAUGGCUCACCAAGGCGACGAUCCGUAACUGGUCUGAGAGGAUGAUCAGUCACACUGGAACUGAGACACGGUCCAGACUCCUACGGGAGGCAGCAGUGGGGAAUAUUGGACAAUGGGCGAAAGCCUGAUCCAGCCAUGCCGCGUGUGUGAAGAAGGUCUUCGGAUUGUAAAGCACUUUAAGUUGGGAGGAAGGGUUGUAGAUUAAUACUCUGCAAUUUUGACGUUACCGACAGAAUAAGCACCGGCUAACUCUGUGCCAGCAGCCGCGGUAAUACAGAGGGUGCAAGCGUUAAUCGGAAUUACUGGGCGUAAAGCGCGCGUAGGUGGUUAGUUAAGUUGGAUGUGAAAUCCCCGGGCUCAACCUGGGAACUGCAUUCAAAACUGACUGACUAGAGUAUGGUAGAGGGUGGUGGAAUUUCCUGUGUAGCGGUGAAAUGCGUAGAUAUAGGAAGGAACACCAGUGGCGAAGGCGACCACCUGGACUGAUACUGACACUGAGGUGCGAAAGCGUGGGGAGCAAAC
RNAcentral lists this ribosomal RNA (745 nucleotides) under uncultured bacterium. Its description in RNAcentral is "bacterial SSU rRNA". It matches the Rfam family "Bacterial small subunit ribosomal RNA", at positions 33 to 773 of the family's 1533-position model. The record is from RNAcentral.